This 128-nucleotide small RNA is filed under the name Arabidopsis thaliana (thale cress). Its description in RNAcentral is "ATSL066300". The record is from RNAcentral. Lineage: Eukaryota; Viridiplantae; Streptophyta; Magnoliopsida; Brassicales; Brassicaceae.
AUGCCACAAUAACAAAAUUAAUAAAAAUAAGUAAAUCAAAAUGAAGUAGAAGAACCCAGAUUCCAAAUGAACAAAUGCCAAUAGACAAACAAAAAAAAGUUCACACUAUAAUCCGAUUGGUAAUGUAU